AUUGAACGCUGGCGGCAGGCUUAACACAUGCAAGUCGAGCGAGCGGCGGACGGGUGAGUAAUGUCUGGGAAACUGCCUGAUGGAGGGGGAUAACUACUGGAACCGGUAGCAAAUACCGCAUACCAUAAGAUGAGCCAAGAUGGGAUGAUAUAGUAGGUGGGGUAAUGGCUAACCUAGGCGACUAUCCCUAGCUGGUCUGAGAGGAUGACCAGCCACACUGGAACUGAGACACGGUCCAGACUCCUACGGGAGGCAGCAUUGGGGAAUCUUGCACACUGGGCGUAAGCCUGAUGCAGCCAUGCCGCGUGUGUGAAGAAGGCCUUCGGGUUGUAAAGCACUUUCAGCGGGGAGGCGUUACUCGCAGAAGAAGCACCGGCUAACUCCGUGCCAGCAGCCGCGGUAAUAC
RNAcentral lists this ribosomal RNA (406 nucleotides) under uncultured bacterium. Its description in RNAcentral is "partial 16S ribosomal RNA". It matches the Rfam family "Bacterial small subunit ribosomal RNA", at positions 30 to 526 of the family's 1533-position model. The record is from RNAcentral.